CCCCUCUUUCCGUCUUCACUCUUCACCUAUCUGUGGCUUUCUCUUUCCGUCUUCACUCUUCAGUCUUCACCUAUUUGUGGCUUUCUCUUCCUCACCCUUUAUUUAGUCUUUCUUUCCUCACCCUGUAUUCAACUGCUCUUUUUCAGAGACAUCACCACUGCACUUCGGUAUCCUCGCCCCACCGCCAUCUUCGGUCAACCUCGGUGGCACCACAAUCGCAGCACCACGCACAAGGAACGCCUUCCAGAUCUGUUCCCAUCGAUUUUAAUAUCUUUUUUAAGAUCUGGGUUUGACAUGCAUGUUCUAUGAAAGAAAUUGUAUCUGCAAAUCUGCAAUUUUUUUCUUUUCUUGAGAUCCAGUUGGCUGUAAUUCAUGUUAUUCAGUUGGCUGUAAUUCAUGGCUAG
Molecule: long non-coding RNA, 404 nt
Filed under: Rosa chinensis
Lineage: Eukaryota; Viridiplantae; Streptophyta; Magnoliopsida; Rosales; Rosaceae
Description: sRNA RchiOBHm_Chr2g0137441
Source: RNAcentral